CUUGUGUGUGACCGUUGAGUGCGCUGGUUGAAGUUUUGUUCGGUAGCUUUUUGAAAUUAUUUCAGUAACCGGUAGGUGAAUCUUCUUUAGGGCAACAGUUAACUUGUAGUGAUCGUGUGUGCCUGUGGCUACAUCCAUGAAGAACAAGCAGACGGCGGCGGAAGGUGGCGGGGGCACCAGAAAAGGGACAGCUGUCGGGCCAUGGAGGCUGGGCGAGUUCUUGGGGCCAGCAGCCUCACCUCACAUAGCCGCCGCCCACCCCAAAACGCUGACGUCCAGUAAGAUGACCCAGCGGCCGUCCCCGGAAGCGGCGGUGGCGGCGGCGGCAGCAGCAGCCUCUGCCCCCGACUCGGCGUCUGCG
Molecule: long non-coding RNA, 361 nt
Organism: Schistocerca americana (American grasshopper)
Lineage: Eukaryota; Metazoa; Arthropoda; Insecta; Orthoptera; Acrididae
Exons: 3
Source: RefSeq, a predicted model, not a curated record